AGGACGAACGCUGGCGGCGUGCUUAACACAUGCAAGUCGAGCGGUAAGGCCUUUCGGGGUACACGAGCGGCGAACGGGUGAGUAACACGUGGGUGAUCUGCCCUGCACUUCGGGAUAAGCCUGGGAAACUGGGUCUAAUACCGGAUAUGACCUCCUAUCGCAUGGUGGGUGGUGGAAAGAUUUAUCGGUGCAGGAUGGGCCCGCGGCCUAUCAGCUUGUUGGUGGGGUAAUGGCCUACCAAGGCGACGACGGGUAGCCGACCUGAGAGGGUGACCGGCCACACUGGGACUGAGACACGGCCCAGACUCCUACGGGAGGCAGCAGUGGGGAAUAUGCACAAUGGGCGAAAGCCUGAUGCAGCGACGCCGCGUGAGGAUGACGGCUUCGGGUUGUAAACCGUCUUUCAGCAGGACGAAGCGCAAGUGACGGUACCUGACAGAAGAAGCAACCGGCUAACUACGUGCCAGCAGCCGC
This 474-nucleotide ribosomal RNA is filed under the name uncultured soil bacterium. Its description in RNAcentral is "bacterial SSU rRNA". It matches the Rfam family "Bacterial small subunit ribosomal RNA", at positions 26 to 518 of the family's 1533-position model. The record is from RNAcentral.